CAGUCGCCGCGGUAAUACGAAGGGUGCAAGCGUUAAUCGGAAUUACUGGGCGUAAAGCGUGCGUAGGCUGUUUGUUAAGUCUGUUGUGAAAUCCCCGGGCUCAACCUGGGAAUGGCAAUGGAUACUGGCAAGCUAGAGUGUGUCAGAGGAUGGUGGAAUUCCCGGUGUAGCGGUGAAAUGCGUAGAGAUCGGGAGGAACAUCAGUGGCGAAGGCGGCCAUCUGGGACAACACUGACGCUGAGGCACGAAAGCGUGGGGAGCAAACAGGAUUAGAGACCCCCGUAGUCCCUGUCUCUUAUAA
Molecule: ribosomal RNA, 301 nt
Filed under: uncultured bacterium
Lineage: Bacteria
Description: partial 16S ribosomal RNA
Rfam family: Bacterial small subunit ribosomal RNA
Source: RNAcentral